Dipodomys ordii (Ord's kangaroo rat) is the source of this 315-nucleotide long non-coding RNA. RefSeq lists it as uncharacterized. NCBI's taxonomy places the organism in Eukaryota, Metazoa, Chordata, Mammalia, Rodentia, Heteromyidae. The record is from RefSeq and is a predicted model, not a curated record. The transcript is spliced from 2 exons.
AGCGCGGUCAUGAGGCUGUGGACCAUAAGCAGAAGGUGGAGACCAUCAUUAAAAACCUCAAGACCAUCUCUAAGGAGGUGAGGCGGAUGAAAGAGCAUGCUCAGUUACUGCUUUGUGACCUGACUGUGCAGCUGGAGCAGCCUUUGAAGACAAAGCACAUAAAGGAACCAAAAGAACCCAACAACUCCGUCUGACGUUUCCCAUCACCGUUUUAUUGUGCUGACUUUGUUACUAAGCUAAAUAGCUGAAUGAUUGAGUUUACCAAUACACUUCUAUCAUUAAAAGAGUUCUGAAUAAACGCUUCAUAUUUCUGAA